GUGCCAGCAGCCGCGGUAAUACAGAGGUCCCAAGCGUUGUUCGGAUUCACUGGGCGUAAAGGGUGCGUAGGUGGUCGGGUAAGUUUGGUGUGAAAUCUCCGAGCUCAACUCGGAAACGGCACUAAAAACUACUCGGCUGGAGGGUCGGAAGGGGGGCUGGAAUUCUCGGUGUAGCAGUGAAAUGCGUAGAUAUCGAGAGGAACACCAGUGGCGAAAGCGAGUCCCUGGACGACUCCUGACACUGAGGCACGAAAGCUAGGGGAGCAAACAGGAUUAGAUACCCCCGUAGUCC
RNAcentral lists this ribosomal RNA (292 nucleotides) under uncultured bacterium. RNAcentral's name for it is "partial 16S ribosomal RNA". It matches the Rfam family "Bacterial small subunit ribosomal RNA", at positions 505 to 796 of the family's 1533-position model. The record is from RNAcentral.